This 174-nucleotide ribosomal RNA is filed under the name uncultured Actinomycetes bacterium. RNAcentral's name for it is "uncultured actinobacterium partial 16S ribosomal RNA". It matches the Rfam family "Bacterial small subunit ribosomal RNA", at positions 338 to 524 of the family's 1533-position model. The record is from RNAcentral. Lineage: Bacteria; Bacillati; Actinomycetota; Actinomycetes.
CCUACGGGAGGCAGCAGUGGGGAAUCUUGCACAAUGGGCGAGAGCCUGAUGCAGCGACGCCGCGUGCGGGACGAAGGCCCUCGGGUUGUAAACCGCUUUCAGCAGGGACGAAGCGAAAGUGACGGUACCUGCAGAAGAAGGUCCGGCCAACUACGUGCCAGCAGCCGCGGUAAU